AGGAUUCUGAUAAGAUGGCAGAAAAAUCAAGAUCAAGAGAAGGUGAACAAAUGGGAGAUAGGUUUCGCUUUGCGUUUACUACCCCACCCCUGCCAAGCAAUGCAGCAGGCCUGCCCAGUAGCUCCCAGUCUCACCCUCCUGACAUUCAAAUAGCACUUGCUCCCUAGUAUGGAUGUGACCUGUUCCCCAAUCCCAGAACUUGAUUUUGCCAGGAACUGAGAUAUGGAAUCUUCACACUUGGAUAGGCUGCUUGCAGGUGGAAGUGUGGAAUGGCCUGCCCAUCCCCCCAACCUCCCAGGACACUGAUGUCAGCACAGUAGCAGCUUCCUUGACAAAUAUUUGUGGAGCUGAAUAAAAAAGCAGCACAGAAGAGCAAACCCCUUGAGAGAUGUCGGCCGACUCCCAGGCCUCCAGAACUUAGCUUGAUGGACUUUGACAGACAGGGAUUUGUUUCUUCGUGUUGUUUAGCUCAAACCAGAGCUAAACCUCCUCAUCGUCUCAAAUGACCUGAAAUGGUUUCCCAAGCAACCUGGGCAGACCCUGGGGAGUCCAGAAGGCAUUCAGGGGCCCUGGACCUCUGGGGCUGAAGAUCUGCCUGCCGCUGUCCUGGAGGUCACAGGUUCCAGAAGGGCAGCAGAUGCCUGAAGCCGCAGGGCUGCGGGAAACAUACCUCACUUGCCUGUGGUCCAGUUUGGAUAGUCCCAGCACAGCUUUACAGGAAUAGGCCCCAAACCGAACUUCCAAGGAGGAAGGAUCUGAUCGGCUCAGCUUGGAUGAGGAAGCGGAGGGAGAGUGGACUGGAAGGAACUUGACCCAGGAUGCUGACCCACAGCGACCCCAAGAAGCUGCUCCAACCCCUGGGACUAUGGAGCUCUACAGCUGUAGAGACCACCAGGAAGUGGACUGCAGGCCCCUGGCCUCUCCAUUCAGAUUCUGCAAAGAGAUCCUGAUGGGUUGGGCCAAUGGGUCAGGCAUCCAGUCAGCUCUGGCUAAGGGGUGAAGGAGUCAGGUGUUACCAACGUGGUGGCAGGGGCCACCUUGAAGCUGUGUUCUGUGCCAUGGAAGAAGGAAGAGGAGGAGGAAGCUAAGCUGGAAGGGAAGGCAGGUGAUACAGGAAAAUUAACUAUGAGCUUUGCUAUAGUGACCACUUUUCCUUCACUCCUUGAGCUGUGGCCUUAAGAACUGUGUACCAAUGGGAGGCACUUGCAUAGUAAGUGUUCAUUUGCUGAAUACUUACAGAGGGCUAUAAGUGGACAAAUAUGUCCAAAAACACAUGAAACACACACCAUCAACACUUGCAGAUGGUCUCCUUCAGGGAACCUUUCCACACUGGCUCUCCCCUCACUGAGCUUUCCUUCCUAUCACCCUCCCAGUCUAGGCUCCUGGAGUCAGUAGUUGGAAUCUCAGAUGGGAAGAAACCUUAAAAGUCAUCUGGUCCAGUAUUUUCCAAAGCAUGUUCCAUGAACUUGUUUUCCAGAAAUGGUUUCCUGGUCUGGUGAGUGGGAGUUCGAUGAGAGUGGCAGUUGUCUAUUUUGUUCACCGAUGUAUCUUAGGUGACUAAAACAAUGGUUGUCACAUGGCUGGCCCUUCAUAUUUGUUUCCAGAUGGAAGACUCUCUUUCUAGUGGUGGAACAUUAGUUUUGCACUGUGUUGGGACAACCUGAUGUAGUGAAAACAAGCCUGGGCAAUGAAAUCAACAGAUUGGAGUUCAGUUCCUAAUUGGGUCAUGGAUGAACUUUGUGACCUUGGGCAAGUGAGUUCACCUCUCUGAGUUGAAUAGGUUCCCUCCUUUCUAGAACAAGUAUGAGUCUGCAUCAGAGAGUGGUUGCGAGGGCUACACAUGAUGGAGGAUGAGGACUGGCACAUCAGAAGUACUGAAUGAAGAAUUGUAACAUAAAAAUGACAACAGUAAUAUAUUUUUGUGGUUUCAGCACUCUUCAAAUGAAACCACCUGGCCAACAGGAUUUUAGUGUACCUGCUUAUAACAUUAGCCUUCGUUUCCACCAAAAAGGGUGUUAAAAAAGGAAGCUUGGAACAUGAAAGUAAGACACUUGGAUGAAGAGAUUUAUGACUCUGGGGGGCUGUGAAUUCCUAAUGUCCUUUUGAGACAUGUAGAUCUUCCAGAGCGAUGCUGCCCAAUGCAGUAGCCACUAGCCAAGUGCAAAUGGUCACUUGCAAUAUGGCUAGUCUUUGAGAUGUGUUUUAAGUGUAAAAUACACACUGAAUUUUAAAGACUUAGCGCAAUACAAAGAAUGUAAAAUAUCUCAUUAUAUCUUGAAAUUAUACUAUUUUGGAUAUAUGGUGUUCCCUUGGUGUCUUUGGGGACUGGUUCCAGGAUCCUAGAGGAUACCCAAAUCCCCAGAUGUCAAGUCCGCUAUAUAAAAUGUCCUGUAGUAUUUGCAUAUAACCUACACACAUCCUUCUGAAUACUUUAAAUCAUCUCUAGAUUCCUUGUAAUUCCUAAUACAAUGUAAAUGUUAUGUAAAUAGUUGUUAUACUAUAUUAAAAAGUUUUUUAUUCUUUAUUUUUGCUGUAUUAUUCUUUUUGCAUAUUUUCAGUCCACAGAUGGUUGAUGCCACAGAUGUGGAACCUGUGAAUAAGGAGGGCUGACUGUAUUGAGU
RNAcentral lists this long non-coding RNA (2621 nucleotides) under Homo sapiens (human). Its description in RNAcentral is "HSALNT0230782". Lineage: Eukaryota; Metazoa; Chordata; Mammalia; Primates; Hominidae. The record is from RNAcentral.